This 212-nucleotide long non-coding RNA is filed under the name Lathyrus oleraceus (garden pea). RNAcentral describes it as "Pisum sativum (pea) long non-coding RNA (PSAT_LNC004864)". The record is from RNAcentral. Lineage: Eukaryota; Viridiplantae; Streptophyta; Magnoliopsida; Fabales; Fabaceae.
GGAUGAGGAGGUUACCUAGUGCAAAACAGUCCAAUGCUUCUUUAUAGUGGAGAGGGUGGAAGGAAAUGAGAUGCUCUUUGAAACUUCAAGAACUUAUGGAAAUGCAAUGGAAUGAAACUUGGUCUUUUCCUAUUUCCUUGCUUGCUUGAAAAUAGUGGCAGCCUCUGCCCUUCAGAUUAGGGUUUGGAUGUCUUAAAUAUGUUGGAUUAAAG